GUUUGAGUUGUCAUUUACAGUUUGGAACAUUGUGUUCAAGGACUAAACAACAACUCACGAUAGAGUCGGAUUUUACAUCAAUACUGACUUGGUACAAAGACAGAGAGAGGCGAAACACCACUAAUCCUCGUUAUACACACAUAAAAAAACAUUGCCACUGAAUCAAAGAGAGAAAAAAGAUCUAUAAUAGUAAAGCAGAGAUCCUCGGAGGUCUGUGAAACGUUUGUUACUGAGUAAACCCGACGUGAUUUAAAGUUGCUAACGGUCUAUCUUAUUAUACUUGCCACUAGUUCGCAGCCAAACUAGAUAUUAGCGCAUGUUUGAAGUGAGCAGUCGACUCGUGUGUGUUUUACUAGUAGCGUACAGUGUGUAUCCGGGCUUAUAAGUCACUACAUAUCAGGCGAUAUAUUAUAACAACAUGUGGAAUUUACUAGCCGUCUUCCAGAUAUUGAUUCUUUAUGUCAGCGUCAGCUUGGAACAAUCAUGCCCAAAAAAUCCGCAGGCAGAAAUCUCCACCUGUUUGACUAAUAUGGGAUUGAACCCCGAAAUGGCGGGCGGAAGCACUCUGGUGACAGACACAGACAGGGCCAAAAAAGUCUGCAAAGAUGGUACCCUGGAUCAAGCUAUAAAGUGUAUGGAAAACGUCUUCACAGCCUGCAUACAACACAAACAAACCGACAGUCUCGAAAAACUUGUCAAUAUUGAAAGAUGGAGAACCGGCAUGAACCUUCUGUGUGAUAAUAUAAACGAUUUGAUCGGAAAUGAUCAAUGUAUUCGUGAUGCUAAUGUACAGAGCCAGGUUUGUGUAUCUCGGGAAUCUACAGAAUUUCGAAGCAAGUUAAAGAUUAAAGUUAUGGGUGGUGAAACAAGUCCGGAUGAGAUUAUGACAUUUAGUUGCAUAUUUGCCGAUAGAAUAGUCGGGUGUACGAGAAGACUAUUAUCUGAUUAUUGUCCAGCCAAUGUUAGAGAUGUUAUGACGGGAGUGGUUCAAUCCUUUAUGCCACCUAUCUGUGAUCCUUAUUGGGGCAGUGCCACGUCCAACUCGAAUGUACCUAAAAUAUCACUAUCAGUGAUCUUCAUAUCGUGUGCUAUUAUGGUGAAUUUUUGUUAAUAUUGUUUGUUGGCCUUGCCUGUGUUUAAUCCGCCCCAAGACAACAUUGGACUAACUCGCUGAAAACAUAUUGGACUAAGUUUCAUUGUGUUGACUAUCGGUUGAUGUUAUUUUGGUUCUGUGCAAAUUCAACAGCUAGACUACAUUUGAAUAAUUCUCCUAAAAGACAAUUGGCCAAGUUUGAUUACUUUGUGAUUUCCUGGUGUCUUGUUUGCUGUAUUAAACAGAUUCUCCUAGAGGCGACCUUGGAUAAUAUUGAUUAAUAAGGCUUACUUAGACACAACCCCGGGAGAAAGACAUUUAUUAAUUUGGCUGUUUAUUUACUGAUAUAUAUUUUCCACGUCGUAUUUGGCCAUCUACCCUCUUCCCAUUCUCGGUAUCCCCAGUUGUGUCGUUUUCCUUCUUAUCCACUAACCCCUGUGUUCAUCCAUAGUCAAAUUAUUCGCCCUUGGAUGUAAACUUUUGGUUGGUUCGUAGAAGCAAGCUACGAUCAAGGGUAGAUUAUAUGAAUGCGUGAAAACCACGUUGAUUGACCCAGCGGUUAGUGGAGUAGAACGCAAGGAUACCACGGGGGAUACCGAGAAUGCGCUCUUCAUUGAUCUUCAGUAUGCAGGGAUAAUUUUUAAAAAACCUAUUUACACUGACCUUUUGUCGCAUUACAGCGCGAAAUGUACAGGCAAGCCACAUACACGUUGCUCUGUUUCUGCAAAUUGUCGCUGAAUUAUAACACUGAACAAACUCGUCAUAAAUAUAUCAUUCAAGACAAGGCGACAUUAACUAUUAUUGUAUUGGUUUUAAACUAAUUCCCACUUGGGCAUCAUCCGAACGCUGGCAGACACACUCGGUAAUGUCAUAUGAACCGUCCCUUAGUCAUGUGAUGGAUUUGACCAGGAUCAUUUGUUGAUUUUGAAAUUUGUAUUAUAGUGUAUAUAGUUUAUCAAACAUGUUCUGUUUCCUGUCAGGGGCCCAUUUCAUGAAGCACGAUAACAGUGCUUACAGUAAAAUAUCUCAUUUACAUCUAUCUUGUAAAAACGGUAUCUUGGUCAGUUUGCAACAGAUAAAUCUAUUAAAAUCAAUUGUCACAUAUCAAAUCCACUGUGGCCAUACCCCGUUCAGUGUUCCAUACAAAUACAUUUUAUUGCGGUUCUAAAAUGCCAAAUAUAUCAUCUUAUGAUGAUACAUUCUUGAAUUGGUUGACACAAAAGGCCUUCUAAGGAGAGCGUGACAUUUAUAUGGUAACCAAAGCUAAAACAGCCUUCAAUCAUUCUUCUGAGAUGAAAGUAAUAUUCUAUUAGGUGAGAUUUUUGUUGUUAAUGGAUGGCAUUCAAACAGUCCCGAAUGAUUGACCCGGCCGACAUGCUGUUAUUAGAGGCCCUGUCCAAUAUAUCGUAAGGAUGCCAUUGCUUGUAAAUAUCCAUUUCACGUUUAUAUAUUUAAAGUUACAAGUUCAUAUUUUCUAAGAAAGUCAAAACAUAAUUAUGUCUAUGUCUUUUGCUCAAUAGGUUGUCAACUCACUAUUAUACUAUCAUAGGUGUCAUUCUCACACUUAACACUCAUUUAUACCGGAAAUAAUAACACAGUUACCUCCCUUGUUUUCUAUUCUCCACCAUGGAGUAGCUAUCUUCAAACGUUUGAAUUUGAAGAGGAAAAUGAUAUUUUUGCCAAUUUCUCAACUGGCAAUAGUGAAUUAUAGGAUUAUUCUUUAACAAGGUAGGACUGUUUAUAGAUACCAUCUAUUUUAAGGUUUUAUUUUAAUAAAUUUUAAAAAUAUAACUUAAAAAUAUGAAAUUGCAACUUUAAAACAAGGUGUUGGUAACCAUGACUUUUUAAUAUAUGUAUAUUUAUUGUCAACGACCUUGACACCAAUCUGAUUAAAAUACAGAUCUAUAUUUCGUUUCGUUUUUUUUUUACACUUUCGAUGACCUACACCACAUGAAGAUCUGACCAGUUGUAGUAAAAGGUCGCGUCGGAAGUCGUACGAACGGCUUUUGACCCUAUGGCGUCAGACAUUGAUUAAUCAAUCAGCGUUGACGUUGCUAGUGGUUUAUCCACAGUUUCCGUGCAUCGGACGCCAAGAAGUCGCUGUUACAGAUGGUUUCAUAGGUUAAUCCCUCACGCCAUCAAGAACGCAGGUUAUAUAACAACUCUUCCAGAUUCCAUUGUAGAACAGACACGUAAAACGAAAUUUUGAACUAUAAUAAAACGAAACGAAAUAGGAUCUGUGUUUUAACCAGAUUGCCCUGAAACCAGAUUAUGUGGAAUAUAGUAGCACUUGCUUCAUUAAGCCUUAUGUUGUCGUGCACACGUCAAGUUAUAUUUUUUCAUAUUUUGUAAACUAUAAAAUAGCAAUCAGGAUUUCCUGUAUUAGUAAAAUGACCUAAUAAGGCGUUAUGGCACCGAUCUUAUUAUUUGCCCUACUUACAACGUUAUAAACAACAACGGUUUUUCUAUCCACUUUGACAUCGUGGUUUACAUGUGGUGUAUUUGUGAAUUUCUUGUUCCAUGAAAAACAUGGAAAGGGGGAUGUUAGUAAGGUGAGGAGUUAUCUCCCUUGAAUUGAAACAUGUCUGUAUAGUCCAUCUUGUAUAUAAAUAAUGUUAAUAUGUAAAUUAUUUAUCUUGUACAUCUUUGUAACACCGAAUGACAUAAACUACAUUCUAAUUAUAUCAAA
Molecule: long non-coding RNA, 3782 nt
Organism: Patella vulgata (common limpet)
Lineage: Eukaryota; Metazoa; Mollusca; Gastropoda; Patellidae
Exons: 6
Source: RefSeq, a predicted model, not a curated record